This 73-nucleotide transfer RNA is filed under the name Stegodyphus mimosarum. It matches the Rfam family "tRNA". Rfam says of the family: Transfer RNA (tRNA) molecules are approximately 80 nucleotides in length. The record is from Rfam by way of RNAcentral. Lineage: Eukaryota; Metazoa; Arthropoda; Arachnida; Araneae; Eresidae.
UCCUUAGUGGUGUAGUGGUCAGCACGCUCGGCGCGUAUUCGAGAGGUCCGUGGUUCGAAUCCCGGCGAGGGCA